RNAcentral lists this ribosomal RNA (274 nucleotides) under uncultured bacterium. RNAcentral's name for it is "partial 16S ribosomal RNA". It matches the Rfam family "Bacterial small subunit ribosomal RNA", at positions 523 to 796 of the family's 1533-position model. The record is from RNAcentral.
AUACGGAGGGUGCAAGCGUUAUCCGGAUUCAUUGGGUUUAAAGGGUGCGCAGGCGGAUAUUUAAGUCAGUGGUGAAAUCCCGGGGCUCAACCUCGGAACUGCCAUUGAUACUGAAUAUCUGGAAUACGGUUGAAGUGGGCGGAAUGUAGCAUGUAGCGGUGAAAUGCAUAGAGAUGCUACAGAACACCGAUCGCGAAGGCAGCUCACUAAGCCGAUAUUGACGCUCAGGCACGAAAGCGUGGGGAGCGAACAGGAUUAGAAACCCCAGUAGUCC